GAGAGCGUAGCUCAGCAGGUAGAGCACCGCCCUUUUAAGGCGAUGGUCCCGGGUUCGAAUCCCGGCGCUCUCA
Molecule: transfer RNA, 73 nt
Filed under: bacterium
Lineage: Bacteria
Description: tRNA-Lys
Rfam family: tRNA
About the family: Transfer RNA (tRNA) molecules are approximately 80 nucleotides in length. Their secondary structure includes four short double-helical elements and three loops (D, anti-codon, and T loops).
Source: RNAcentral